UACGGAAGGCAGCAGUGGGGAAUAUUGCACAAUGGGCGCAAGCCUGAUGCAGCCAUGCCGCGUGUAUGAAAAAGGCCUUCGGGUUGUAAAGUACUUUCAGUCGUGAGGAAGGUGUUAAGGUUAAUAACCUUAGCAAUUGACGUUAGCGACAGAAGAAGCACCGGCUAACUCCGUGCCAGCAGCCGCGGUAAUACGGAGGGUGCGAGCGUUAAUCGGAAUUACUGGGCGUAAAGGGCACGCAGGCGGUUAAUUAAGUUGGAUGUGAAAUCCCCGGGCUUAACCUGGGAAUGGCAUUCAAGCUGGUUAGCUAGAGUCUUGUAGAGGGGGUAGAAUUCCAUGUGUAGCGGUGAAAUGCGUAGAGAUGUGGAGGAAUACCGGUGGCGAAGGCGGCCCCUGGACAAAGACUGACGCUCAUGUGCGAAAGCUGGGGAGCAAACAGGGAUUAGAUACC
RNAcentral lists this ribosomal RNA (451 nucleotides) under uncultured bacterium. RNAcentral describes it as "bacterial SSU rRNA". It matches the Rfam family "Bacterial small subunit ribosomal RNA", at positions 340 to 786 of the family's 1533-position model. The record is from RNAcentral.